AACGAACGCUGGCGGCAGGCCUAACACAUGCAAGUCGAGCGAGCAUUUCAGUGCUAGCGGCGGACGGGUGAGUAACGCGUGGGAACGUGCCCUUUUCUGCGGAAUAGUCCUGGGAAACUGGGGGUAAUACCGCAUACGCCCUUUUGGGGAAAGAUUUAUCGGAGAAGGAUCGGCCCGCGUUGGAUUAGGUAGUUGGUGGGGUAAUGGCCCACCAAGCCGACGAUCCAUAGCUGGUUUGAGAGGAUGAUAAGCCACACUGGGACUGAGACACGGCCCAGACUCCUACGGGAGGCAGCAGUGGGGAAUCUUAGACAAUGGGGGCAACCCUGAUCUAGCCAUGCCGCGUGAGUGAUGAAGGCCUUAGGGUUGUAAAGCUCUUUCAGCUGGGAAGAUAAUGACGGUACCAGCAGAAGAAGCCCCGGCUAACUCCGUG
Molecule: ribosomal RNA, 433 nt
Filed under: uncultured bacterium
Lineage: Bacteria
Description: partial 16S ribosomal RNA
Rfam family: Bacterial small subunit ribosomal RNA
Source: RNAcentral